RNAcentral lists this ribosomal RNA (490 nucleotides) under uncultured bacterium. RNAcentral's name for it is "partial 16S ribosomal RNA". It matches the Rfam family "Bacterial small subunit ribosomal RNA", at positions 29 to 506 of the family's 1533-position model. The record is from RNAcentral.
AGUGAACGCUGGCGGUAGGCCUAACACAUGCAAGUCGAACGGCAGCACAGUAAGAGCUUGCUCUUACGGGUGGCGAGUGGCGGACGGGUGAGGAAUACAUCGGAAUCUACUUUUUCGUGGGGGAUAACGUAGGGAAACUUACGCUAAUACCGCAUACGACCUACGGGUGAAAGCAGGGGAUCUUCGGACCUUGCGCGAUUGAAUGAGCCGAUGUCGGAUUAGCUAGUUGGCGGGGUAAGGCCCACCAAGGCGACGAUCCGUAGCUGGUCUGAGAGGAUGAUCAGCCACACUGGAACUGAGACACGGUCCAGACUCCGACGGGAGGCAGCAGUGGGGAAUAUUGGACAAUGGGCGCAAGCCUGAUCCAGCCAUACCGCGUGGGUGAAGAAGGCCUUCGGGUUGUAAAGCCCUUUUGUUGGGAAAGAAAAGCAGCAGGUUAAUACCCCGCUGUUCUGACGGUACCCAAAGAAUAAGCACCGGCUAACUUCGU